Molecule: ribosomal RNA, 233 nt
Filed under: Clostridioides difficile
Lineage: Bacteria; Bacillati; Bacillota; Clostridia; Peptostreptococcales; Peptostreptococcaceae
Description: partial 16S ribosomal RNA
Rfam family: Bacterial small subunit ribosomal RNA
Source: RNAcentral
ACUCGCCUACAUGAAGCUGGAGUUACUAGUAAUCGCAGAUCAGAAUGCUGCGGUGAAUGCGUUCCCGGGUCUUGUACACACCGCCCGUCACACCACGGGAGUUGGAGACGCCCGAAGCCGACUAUCUAACCUUUUGGAAGAAGUCGUCGAAGGUGGAAUCAAUAACUGGGGUGAAGUCGUAACAAGGUAGCCGUAUCGGAAGGUGCGGCUGGAUCACCUCCUUUCUAAGGAGA